GACGAACGCUGGCGGCGUGCCUAAUACAUGCCAGUUGAGCGCUGAAGGUUGGUACUUGUACCAACUGGAUGAGCAGCAAACGGGUGAGUAACGCGUGGGGAAUCUGCCUUUGAGCGGGGGACAACAUUUGGAAACGAAUGCUAAUACCGCAUAAAAACUUUAAACACAAGUUUUAAGUUUGAAAGAUGCAAUUGCAUCACUCAAAGAUGAUCCCGCGUUGUAUUAGCUAGUUGGUGAGGUAAAGGCUCACCAAGGCGAUGAUACAUAGCCGACCUGAGAGGGUGAUCGGCCACAUUGGGACUGAGACACGGCCCAAACUCCUACGGGAGGCAGCAGUAGGGAAUCUUCGGCAAUGGACGAAAGUCUGACCGAGCAACGCCGCGUGAGUGAAGAAGGUUUUCGGAUCGUAAAACUCUGUUGGUAGAGAAGAACGUUGGUGAGAGUGGAAAGCUCAUCAAGUGACGGUAACUACCCAGAAAGGGACGGCUAACUACGU
This 496-nucleotide ribosomal RNA is filed under the name uncultured bacterium. RNAcentral describes it as "partial 16S ribosomal RNA". It matches the Rfam family "Bacterial small subunit ribosomal RNA", at positions 28 to 506 of the family's 1533-position model. The record is from RNAcentral.